Molecule: transfer RNA, 73 nt
Filed under: Paramuricea clavata
Lineage: Eukaryota; Metazoa; Cnidaria; Anthozoa; Malacalcyonacea; Plexauridae
Rfam family: tRNA
About the family: Transfer RNA (tRNA) molecules are approximately 80 nucleotides in length. Their secondary structure includes four short double-helical elements and three loops (D, anti-codon, and T loops).
Source: Rfam by way of RNAcentral
GACCGCGUUGGUCAGUUGGAAGAGCAUUGGGCUAGUAUUCCAAAGGUCGUAGGUUCGAAUCCCACCGUGGCCG